Molecule: long non-coding RNA, 413 nt
Organism: Galeopterus variegatus (Sunda flying lemur)
Lineage: Eukaryota; Metazoa; Chordata; Mammalia; Dermoptera; Cynocephalidae
Exons: 3
Source: RefSeq, a predicted model, not a curated record
GCCCUAAAGGAUCAGACUGUGGCAUUGUAAACGUCAAUAUUCCAACAAGUGGGGCUGAGAUUGGAGGUGCAUUUGGAGGAGAAAAGCACACUGGUGGUGGCAGGGAAUCUGGCAGUGAUGCCUGGAAGCAGUACAUGAGGAGAUCUACUUGUACCAUCAACUACAGUAAGGACCUUCCUCUGGCCCAAGGAAUCAAGUUUCAGUGAAGGUAUUUUAGACCAACAUUACUUGAAGUCUUGCUGCUGCUUCUGAAGAAAACAAUAUUUGCCUUGAAUAAAUAUCAUUUUGAAUAUGACAGUGGCUAAUCUCCUAGGACCCCAAAGCCCUGACUAAAUCAAGAGACUUAUUUUUUAAAAAUCAAAUAAAAUUGUCACAAUAUAGCCAUCUUUAGUAAAAGAUGAGUUGGAUUUUUA